RNAcentral lists this transfer RNA (64 nucleotides) under Helina latitarsis. RNAcentral describes it as "tRNA-His". Lineage: Eukaryota; Metazoa; Arthropoda; Insecta; Diptera; Muscidae. The record is from RNAcentral.
AUUUAAAUAGUUUAAUUAAAAUAUUGAUUUGUGGUAUCAAUGAUAAGAAAAUUCUUUUUAAAUU